Molecule: ribosomal RNA, 467 nt
Filed under: uncultured bacterium
Lineage: Bacteria
Description: partial 16S ribosomal RNA
Rfam family: Bacterial small subunit ribosomal RNA
Source: RNAcentral
GACGAACGCUGGCGGCGUGCUUAACACAUGCCAGUCGAACGGAAAGGGCCUGCUUUUGUGUGGUUCUCGAGUGGCGAACGGGUGAGUAACACGGGAGUAACCUGCCCUUGACUGGGUGAUAACUUCAGGAAACUGGGGCUAAUGCCGGAUAGGAGCGCCUGCUGCAUGGGGGGGUUGGAAAGUUUCGGCGGUUGGGGAUGGACGCGCGGCUUAUCAGCUUGGUGGUGGGGUAGUGGCUUACCAAGGCUUUGACGGGUAGCCGGCCGGGGAGGGUGAACGGCCACCUUGCGACUGAGGGACGGCGCAGUGUGGAACGGGAGGCAGCAGUGGGGAGUAUUGCACAGUGGGCGGACGCCUGAUGCAGCAACGCCGCGUGCGGGAUGAAGGCCAUCGGGUUGUAAACCGCUGUAGGCUGAGACGAAGCGUGAGUGACGGUAAUGGGUAAAGAAGCACCGGCUAACUACGUG